Solanum pennellii is the source of this 3269-nucleotide long non-coding RNA. RefSeq lists it as uncharacterized. The transcript is spliced from 5 exons. The record is from RefSeq and is a predicted model, not a curated record. Lineage: Eukaryota; Viridiplantae; Streptophyta; Magnoliopsida; Solanales; Solanaceae.
AUAUUUUUAUGGGUCAAAUAUAAAUAUCAAUCAUACUUUACCCAUAUGAAAAUCAGUCACCCAACUCAGGGCGAUUUGAGCGUGUCACCAAAAUAUGGACUUAUCAGUGGUAUAUUUCUCAGAUUUAUUUGGAGGAUGCACACAAAGGAAAAUACUUCCACUUUUUGCUUGCUGCUGGUCACUUCGACUUUUUGUGAUUCAAACAUUAAAAGUAAACACAACUUCACUUGUGUACCUUGAAUUCCUACUUUUUACAUAGUUUCUAGCUAAGAUUUCUACAUGCACCUUACCUUUGAUUUGCACAUGCAUUAUGUUUCUUUGAUGAAUUUAAUUUUUAUAGCCAUUAAUUACUGUAUAAGUUAGACUAUCUUACAAAAAAAAAAAUUAUCAAUUAUAUUUGAUUGUGCAUCUAAGUUGUUUGAUAAUAUGCCUCAGUUAACUUACCCCGGGGUGGCCCAGUGGUUUGAGCUUGGGACUUACAUGUUAGAGGUCUCAAGUUCGAAACCCCUUGCCAGCAAAAGCAAGGGAUUUGUCUUAUGGGUCGAGCUCGUCGCACCAAGUUUGCCUAGUGCAGGUUACAUCUCCUAUAUGGUUUGCGAGAUAUUGCAUAGGAGCGUGACUUUACCCCGUGCGCACCAGAAGGGUAGCAGUUGCGGGUGUAUAGGAGCGGAGUUUUACCCUGUGUGCACCCGAAAGGUAGCGGUUGCGGGGUUCCCUUGUCAUCGGGCGGCUGCAAUUGCAUAGGAGCGGGGUUUUACUGUGUGCACACUUGAAGGGUAACGGUUGUGAGUUUCCCUUGUCAUUAGAAAAAAAAUGCCUCAAGUUAACUUAUUUGAAGUUUUCUAUUGUCUUUUUUUCUUUUUGGGAUGCAACAUGAUUAUUUGUAUCACGACCAAAGACAUAUAUGGGAGCAUCUUGGCCUGCCACGAAUGCUACAACAAAAUCGACUCUCCUAGCAAAAUAUAGGUUUGUGCGAGGGAAAUGAAUUCACAAAUGCUAAAGUGGUUGAGAAUCUCCAAGUAAACCAAGACGCCUUGUUAAAUGGCAUUUUCAAUCUAACUGAAAAUUAUACAGAAACUAAGCUAACACCACCGAUAACUAUGUCAAAUGUAAACCAUUCAGACAAUGCUUUUGAACUAGAUUCAUCCAUCAAUAUUCACCUUGAUCCCUUUCAGCUCUCAAGAUCUACCAGCAAGGUAUGUUAGAUAUAUAACCUAUUGCAAAGCAAAUUUGGAGGGAGGAUUUCUUACUUUUAUAUGGAAUGAGUGAGCGAAUGACAAAAACUGCAUCAAUUAUCGUCUUCCGUAAACCGUGUAAGAACGUUUUGUUCGCAAAGAAAAAGAAGAUAGAAACCGAUCCCAUGAGGUACAUGAAGCGAUUAAAAUAAGGCGUCAGGGAAAUUUCAAGUAAUAAGGAGGGAGGAACAGAGUCAUUAAAAGCACGUGUAGUGUUAUUUGUAAGUUUAGGGUUAAAUUGGUCCUCAUGUGUUACUUAUGAAGGCAUUCUUCAAUAUUAACUUGAGCACUUAUUCUAACAUAUUUUUGCAUCAAUAUAACUGAAAAUCUUUAUUGUUGUAUAUCUUCAAGCAUUUCUCUCCCUUUGCUGAUCUUAAAUUUCUACAGUUGUUCCUUCAGUGUCCAAACGAGAAUUGGACUCCAAUACUAUUCCACUCUUGAAAUUUCGUUCCUCUUAGAAUCUUUGAGAGUAAAGUAAUCUUAUUUUUCUGGCAUCUUCCCGUUUGAUUUAUUUGCAUCUGUGAAUUUUAAAUGUGAACUUUAUUUGAUUGAGCAUAAAUAAUUUUGAUAAUCAAAGAAGUGCCGGUUCUUUUGGCACUUCUUAUCGUGCUGGACCAGUAGAGUAGAGUAGUAAAGUUUCAAUUCAUUAUUAAGUAAAUCCAUCUAUUUAGAAUUGUUUGGUAAAAACAUUAUAUAAGCUGAAUUGUGUUUUAUGAAUACUCUUAUGCACUCUUCAGGUUUUUUUCCAUCCUCGGCAGGUAAGAGAAAAAAUAGAAAUUCCCAACGCCAUGUAUUCUCAUAUCGUCAGCUGCGGAGAGACGGAUGUUUGACAUGAUUGAUCAAGAAAAAUAUGUUGAUGGAAAUUUAAUUGGUGAGUGUUCUUUCUAUGGUGAAAGAGAUUUGCAUUUUCUAAAGACUGGACUGCAAACGUUGUGCUGUUUGAGGCUUUGGUCCCAUAAAAAAUCUAAUAGCUUAUCUCUUGUGUUUGAAUGCACGAUCAAAUUCAUCAAACAGUAGGCAUUUCUUCUACUUACUUAUUUCUAACAUGAGUUGAACACUAUUUGAUGCAAGAAAAUCAUUUUAUAAGAAACAAUUGUGCUCACACACAUGUAUAUAACAGAGUCAUCUCAAUGACAAGUCCCAUAGAUUUUGUAAUGCACAUCUCUCUACUUGAUUCUCCUGAAGCUAAAUAUAUGCAUCUGUUCAUAAAAAAUAAUAGUUGAUUGAGUUAUCUUCCUCUCUUAUUUUCAUUUGUGUUAGUAUAAAGAAAAAGACAAGAUAGAUUGGGUUUUGACGUUAUUUUCUUCUAUAUGAAUAAUUGUGAGUAUACCUCUAAAUUCGUUUGACAUUCCAGGUGACUUCUCCUUAAUAGAAAGGUUAAUGGUUGCGUGAUCUAUUUUGAUUUGAUUUUUCCUUUUUCCUUUUUCCAUUGUCUAUGGAUAACAAGCAAAACCUGCAAGCUGCCUUCUUGGGUUUUAACGCUGGAAUGACCCACAUUGUGAGAGAAACUGAAAAACAUAUAUCAAGACUCCAAAAGAGAAAACAUGUGAGACAGUCACUAUAACUGGAGCAUCCCCAGUGAUGGUAAUUGGUGUUGUUGGAUCUGUUGUAACACUUCAUAAUAGCGUUGCCUCAAUACUUAUUGAGCUCAGCAUCUCAAUAAUUAGUUGAAGAGUUUCUACGAGAACUAGAGCAAGUUUUCCAAGAAAAAGUCCAUUAUGAAUUACUCCAAGAAAUAUGAUGCUGGUGAAUAAAAAGAUUAUUUAGGCACAGUUGGAGAAACUAAAGAAUACUUGUGUCAUCAAUGUGUUGACUCACUCACACGUACACUCUUCCCUCGGAUAUUGGGGGACCAUGGCUCGGAUAUGCUUUUAUGUGUGUAUAUAUUAUGUAUUUCAAUAAUUUUGUUUUCUCUGUAAUCUAAUUCGGACCAACAUUCAUGUUCUGAGUUAGUGGUAAUAAGAGACGUUGUAACUUGUAAGAUAUAGUUUCUAAUUGAUACUUGCACUUCUAAAGAUAUAAAUAUGUUAUACC